This 301-nucleotide ribosomal RNA is filed under the name uncultured bacterium. RNAcentral describes it as "partial 16S ribosomal RNA". It matches the Rfam family "Bacterial small subunit ribosomal RNA", at positions 509 to 807 of the family's 1533-position model. The record is from RNAcentral.
CAGUCGCCGCGGUAAUACGUAGGGUGCAAGCGUUAAUCGGAAUUACUGGGCGUAAAGCGUGCGCAGGCGGUUAUAUAAGACAGAUGUGAAAUCCCCGGGCUCAACCUGGGAACUGCCUUUGUGACUGCAAGGCUAGAGUACGGCAGAGGGGGAUGGAAUUCCGCGUGUAGCAGUGAAAUGCGUAGAUAUGCGGAGGAACACCGAUGGCGAAGGCAAUCCCCUGGGCCUGUACUGACGCUCAUGCACGAAAGCGUGGGGAGCAAACAGGAUUAGAUACCCGAGUAGUCCCUGUCUCUUAUAC